Molecule: long non-coding RNA, 1722 nt
Organism: Lutra lutra (Eurasian river otter)
Lineage: Eukaryota; Metazoa; Chordata; Mammalia; Carnivora; Mustelidae
Exons: 3
Source: RefSeq, a predicted model, not a curated record
GAGAAGCCUGAGGCCAGAAAGCAGCAGCAACUGGUGACAUCCCAGCCCUUGUCUUUGCCUGCAAAGAAUGGAGGCCUGGAAUUCCUACCAGAAGAUACAGAAACAACCAACAUGCAUAGACAAGCUGCUUGGAGGCCAGGAUGUACAAACAGAGAAAUGUCGUUUCCCACCAACCAGAAUGGUCCUAAUGAUGUACUACUCUUAGGUAAAUUGAGCCAAUAAUCACUGGAAUCAUUUCCUGUGUGCCCAGUGCAGAUGGGAAAACAACUGAGAAGCCAUCUGCCCUGGCUGAAAAAAUAUGGCCAUCAGACCCGUGUGCGCCCCUGGGCGGUGAUGCCGGUGGAGAACCACUGUGCCAAUGCCAGAGUGGCCCCAGGGCAAAUCAGUUUGGGCCUGGUUGUCACCGUUCUCCUCCAGGCUAGAUGCACGCAUGCCACGCCCACCCAGGAAUCGAGUCCCCAGACCUCCUUGGCUCGGGUCUUCCCUUCUUCCAAAGAUGUGACCAACCAGCCAGGCUCCUGCCUAUUGCCCAGAGUCCACACAUCCCUGUCCGUCAGGCUGCUUUUCCCUUUUCCUCAGCGAGCAACUCAGCACUCCAGGGCCAUCUCUCCCCACCAGUCUCCUUGAGGGACCUGCCAGAGGGAUUGCCCGAUGGCAGAGGCCCAUAAUUGGUUGCAGGCCUGUCUGUGAGCCUGGCCUUCAUAUUUUCUCCUCCACCCUUUGACCUGAGGGCCCCCUUCCCCCGGAGCUACAGGUGGGCAGAGGCAGUAGAACCACAGAGAUCAGGACUGCAGGAGCCCAGCCUGCCUUGUCGCUGGGCCCGUGCAGAGAUGCACUCAGCCCCGGCCUGAGCUCCCCCAUCUGCCACACCAUGGAUAGCUGCUGGACCCGGCCGCCUUAUGACGAGUGGAUCUGACGGUGACCAUGUCCAGUCACACGGUCACAUGAUGCCCAUCACCAGAUGCUCAGGCCCUCCAGGGGCCCUGGAGCAUUCCAGAAGCUGGGCUCCUGACCUAGCUCUGCUUCGGCAUUCUGAGCGUUUACAUAGCAACCUCUUACCAGGGCUGGCCCCAGCUGCACCUGGGGCCGUGUCUACCACCAUCAGAUCUGCAGGUCAUAUGACUACAGAGCAGCUUGACCACAGUCUGAACCUUCUGGAGAGAGAGAGAGAGAGAGAGAGAGAGAGAGAGAGAGGAUUCUCUUGCUCUGGGCCCCUCCCAUGCAGUCACCUGAUGAGUGGGUUGGGGCUGCAUUUCCAAGGGUGUUGUCUGCUGCAUCCUGGGGUCCCUUGGUGCUGGGGCCUCUUUCUUCAUGGUGGGAGGUGGGAGGGGCAAGAGCCUGUCCUCGCCCCCCAAAAAGGAGUUCCCAGGAUGCCCCAGGCCUCUGGAACCUUACAGUCUUCACUGAUACGGCAAGCCUCACGUGCCUCAGGAGGAUAAUAAGGGUGCUUGCACAACCUGAGUACCGUGACGUCAUCGGGAGAGUGGACCAGCAUGACAAUUGGCACAUAUCCAGACCAGCAGUUCCUUCAGUGGCAUGUCAAGCUUUUUUUUCUCUUGGAUCAAAUCCAAGUGAAACUAAAGGCAAUCCUUUAACCCUGGGAAGCCGCCGUCAUCAUAGGGUCCAUUUCCACACCAGUGACCCAGCUCCAUGUUUCCGAGCCUCUCAGGGAGGUGUCUGGAAUUAUGCUCCUUCCCAGGUUGGUGACGAUUGCUCUGAGUG